GGGAGGCAUCCUCGUGGUGUUUCCAGUGGCGGACGGGUGAGUAACGCGUAAGAACUUGCCCUUGGGAGGGGGACAACAACUGGAAACGGCUGCUAAUACCCCGUAAGCUGAGGAGCAGAAGGGAGGGAUCCGCCCAAGGAGGGGCUUGCGUCUGAUUAGCUGGUUGGUGAGGCAAUGGCUUACCAAGGCGACGAUCAGUAGCUGGUCUGAGAGGAUGAUCAGCCACACUGGGGCUGAGACACGGCCCAGACUCCGUA
Molecule: ribosomal RNA, 257 nt
Filed under: uncultured organism
Description: partial 16S ribosomal RNA
Rfam family: Bacterial small subunit ribosomal RNA
Source: RNAcentral